This 442-nucleotide ribosomal RNA is filed under the name uncultured bacterium. Its description in RNAcentral is "partial 16S ribosomal RNA". It matches the Rfam family "Bacterial small subunit ribosomal RNA", at positions 338 to 795 of the family's 1533-position model. The record is from RNAcentral.
CCUACGGUGGGCAGCAGUGGGGAAUAUUGGGCAAUGGGCGCAAGCCUGACCCAGCAACGCCGCGUGAAGGAAGAAGGCUUUCGGGUUGUAAACCUCUUUUAAGGGGGAAGAGCAGAAGACGGUACCCCUUGAAUAAGCCACGGCUAACUACGUGCCAGCAGCCGCGGUCAUACGUAGGUGGCAAGCGUUGUCCGGAUUUACUGGGUGUAAAGGGCGUGUAGCCGGGGAGGCAAGUCAGAUGUGAAAUUCACGGGCUCAACCCGUGAACUGCAUUUGAAACUGUUUGCCUUGAGUGUCGGAGAGGUAAGCGGAAGUCCUUGUGUAGCGGUGAAAGGCGUAGAUAUAAGGAAGAACACCAGUGGCGAAGGCGGAUUACUGGACGAUAACUGACGGUGAGGCGCGAAAGCGUGGGGAGCGAACAGGAUUAGAUACCCCUGUAGUC